Long non-coding RNA from Pistacia vera, 801 nucleotides. RefSeq lists it as uncharacterized. The record is from RefSeq and is a predicted model, not a curated record. NCBI's taxonomy places the organism in Eukaryota, Viridiplantae, Streptophyta, Magnoliopsida, Sapindales, Anacardiaceae. The transcript has 2 exons.
AUUAUUAUUUUCUUUCCAACUAUCACUGUUGUCAAUGAGAAGAUGUUUUCCUCUUUUGUCUGAUCUCCUUCUUCUUGAUUGUAGAUAUCGAGCUUGUGCACUGAAAUGGCAUCCAGAUCGUCACCAAGGUUCUGUUCCUAACUUCAGUAAAUACAAGCCCCAAAAGGAAUUUCCGAUUCUUUCUUAUCGUUCUCUUUGAAUCCAUUCUCAAUAUCAAUUUUCUCUUACUCAAUGAAUACCCUUUUGAUCGAAAUCGUAGAACCUGACUCUGGUCCUUCUCAAAAUCUUCAUCGGUCGCCGCAUAAAGAAACCCUAAAUGGCCAUUCUUUGGUUUCUUUAUCUUCAAAUCGAGAUGGUUCUUCACCAAUUUCAGGUAUAGCCCCUUCUACUUCAAAAACCCUUGAUCGGUCUUCUUCAUCAAUGGAAGAUACUGAAACCCUAGAUGAUAAUCAUGAUAGUUAUCAAUCUUUGGUUCAUUUUGGGCCUCAGCCUUUGAGUAUCGAUGGGUCUUCAGAAGCAAUGCGUCCCCAAGGGUGAAAUUGAUGUUGCAAGGGUGUUGGAGAAGGCCCACUCAAGCUUGAAAGCCAAGGGUUCAUCAACAGCCUGCAUCAUUGCCCUUACAAUAAGCAAGGACUCUUGUUAUGCUUGAAAAUGAGGACAGUUAGAUUUGAGAGAGCUUCUUCUGAAAUGUGGAAGGUAUUGUAGCUUUAGUAGCGUCAUUCUUAUAGUACUACUUAGAAAGCCUAUUGUUUAGCAUGUUUCACUAAUAUGUUUUAUUUACAGCAUUUGUCUCUGUAUGUA